Molecule: ribosomal RNA, 397 nt
Filed under: uncultured Lactobacillus sp.
Lineage: Bacteria; Bacillati; Bacillota; Bacilli; Lactobacillales; Lactobacillaceae
Description: bacterial SSU rRNA
Rfam family: Bacterial small subunit ribosomal RNA
Source: RNAcentral
GGAAACAGAUGCUAAUACCGGAUAAAAAGCUACUUUUCGCAUGAAAAGAAGUUUUAAAAAAGGACGGCGUAAAAGCUGUCGCUAAAGGAUGGACCUGCGAUGCAUUAGCUAGUUGGUAAGGUAACGGCUUACCAAGGCGAUGAUGCAUAGCCGAGUUGAGAGACUGAUCGGCCACAUUGGGACUGAGACACGGCCCAAACUCCUACGGGAGGCAGCAGUAGGGAAUCUUCCACAAUGGACGCAAGUCUGAUGGAGCAACGCCGCGUGAGUGAAGAAGGUUUUCGGAUCGUAAAGCUCUGUUGUUGGUGAAGAAGGAUAGAGGUAGUAACUGGCCUUUAUUUGACGGUAAUCAACCAGAAAGUCACGGGCUAACUACGUGCCAGCAGCCGCGGUAAAU